This 834-nucleotide ribosomal RNA is filed under the name Enterococcus lactis. RNAcentral describes it as "bacterial SSU rRNA". It matches the Rfam family "Bacterial small subunit ribosomal RNA", at positions 38 to 851 of the family's 1533-position model. Lineage: Bacteria; Bacillati; Bacillota; Bacilli; Lactobacillales; Enterococcaceae. The record is from RNAcentral.
GGCAAUACGGGUGCUAUACAUGCAGUCGUACGCUUCUUUUUCCACCGGAGCUUGCUCCACCGGAAAAAGAAGAGUGGCGAACGGGUGAGUAACACGUGGGUAACCUGCCCAUCAGAAGGGGAUAACACUUGGAAACAGGUGCUAAUACCGUAUAACAAUCGAAACCGCAUGGUUUUGAUUUGAAAGGCGCUUUCGGGUGUCGCUGAUGGAUGGACCCGCGGUGCAUUAGCUAGUUGGUGAGGUAACGGCUCACCAAGGCCACGAUGCAUAGCCGACCUGAGAGGGUGAUCGGCCACAUUGGGACUGAGACACGGCCCAAACUCCUACGGGAGGCAGCAGUAGGGAAUCUUCGGCAAUGGACGAAAGUCUGACCGAGCAACGCCGCGUGAGUGAAGAAGGUUUUCGGAUCGUAAAACUCUGUUGUUAGAGAAGAACAAGGAUGAGAGUAACUGUUCAUCCCUUGACGGUAUCUAACCAGAAAGCCACGGCUAACUACGUGCCAGCAGCCGCGGUAAUACGUAGGUGGCAAGCGUUGUCCGGAUUUAUUGGGCGUAAAGCGAGCGCAGGCGGUUUCUUAAGUCUGAUGUGAAAGCCCCCGGCUCAACCGGGGAGGGUCAUUGGAAACUGGGAGACUUGAGUGCAGAAGAGGAGAGUGGAAUUCCAUGUGUAGCGGUGAAAUGCGUAGAUAUAUGGAGGAACACCAGUGGCGAAGGCGGCUCUCUGGUCUGUAACUGACGCUGAGGCUCGAAAGCGUGGGGAGCAAACAGGAUUAAUCGGGGGGGGGUCCACACACAAAAACCUUCGGCCCCCCAGAAACACGGGGGGGGAGGCAAG